CCUACGGGUGGCAGCAGUGAGGAAUAUUGGUCAAUGGUCGCGAGACUGAACCAGCCAAGUAGCGUGAAGGAUGACUGCCCUACGGGUUGUAAACUUCUUUUAUAAAGGAAUAAAGUGCGGCACGUGUGCCUUUUUGUAUGUACUUUAUGAAUAAGGAUCGGCUAACUCCGUGCCAGCAGCCGCGGUAAUACGGAGGGUGCGAGCGUUAAUCGGAAUUAUUGGGUGUAAAGGGUUCGUAGGCGGUCUGUUAAGUCAAGGGUGAAAUCCCGGGGCGCAACGUGGGAACUGCCGUUGAAACUGGCAAACGUGAGUUGGCGAGAGGUAAGCGGAAUUCGAGGUGUAGCGGUGAAAUGCGUAGAUAUCGGGAAGAACACCGAUGGCGAAGGCGGCAAGCGGGCACAUAACUGACGCUGAGGAGCGAAAGCGUGGGUAUCGAACAGGAUUAGAUACCCUGGUAGUC
This 460-nucleotide ribosomal RNA is filed under the name uncultured bacterium. RNAcentral's name for it is "partial 16S ribosomal RNA". It matches the Rfam family "Bacterial small subunit ribosomal RNA", at positions 338 to 795 of the family's 1533-position model. The record is from RNAcentral.